This is a long non-coding RNA of Bombyx mori (domestic silkworm), 913 nucleotides long. RefSeq lists it as uncharacterized. NCBI's taxonomy places the organism in Eukaryota, Metazoa, Arthropoda, Insecta, Lepidoptera, Bombycidae. The transcript is spliced from 2 exons. The record is from RefSeq and is a predicted model, not a curated record.
UGUGUACGUAGUUCGGGUCUGCCAGAAAUUCAGAGCCAGUAUUUUGUGGCGUUUUAUCGGACAAAUGGUAUAUACACUAAGUAAUAGCAACGCCCAGUUCAUCUGGAGUUAGUUUUGCUAGUUCCACAAUACAUUUAAUAUGUAUGAUAUAUAAAACACCGAUUUGUAGGUGUAUUAAACAAGGCUGCAACUUUAUAAAAGUAUACAAUUUACAUAUUCUUUACAAAUUAUACUUAUUACAUUUACCGACGAUUGUUAUGUUUGUUUAGUUUUCAUUAUAUAAAAACAAAUUUAAUUAAUAGUGAAUGAAUUAUUAAUUAGAACUGUAUUAUUUGUGGUUACUCACUUUCCAUACAAGCUCCAGAGAAGGGAUCGCAAGGAACACCUGGUCUGCAAUGAGCGCAGUUCGUCUUUGGUUUAUCGCCUGUUAAAAAUGUAGCGGUCAGAUGUUGUGAUCUCGUGUGGUAAAGAACAUACUGGCUGAUGAUUUAAAACAGUGCAAGACUGCCCGGGAGUGCAAGGUCCACCUUGAGAACAAGGGUCGGCGCAACGAUCAGCCAUGCACGCCAUAUUGCUGGGACACUGCUCGUGAUCGCUGCAUUCUACAGCUGUAUUGAAAAAGAAUGUCACUACAAAUCUCAACAACACACAUAAAACUUAAUCUCAAUAUUAAAAACGUCGAAACUUAACUUCGGUUAUCACAAAAGUACAUUGCUUUAACAUUUUCAACUAAACCUUUUUAAAAUUGUAAUACUUUUAUGACAUUAAUUAAAUUUAAUUUCUCUGCUUUUGUGCACUACACGAUCUACCAGACUUUUUUAAUUCUAAAUCAAUUAUUAAAUUAAAGCUCUAUUUCUGAAGUACAUUAUUACUUUAGAUAUAACAAAUUAGCAAUAAAUUUAUCAAGAUUCAA